GACGAACGCUGGCGGCGUGCUUAACACAUGCCAGUCGAACGGAAAGGCCCUGCUUUUGUGGGGUGCUCGAGUGGCGAACGGGUGAGUAACACGUGAGUAACCGGCCCUUGACUUUGGGAUAACUUCAGGAAACUGGGGCUAAUACCGGAUAGGAGCUCCUGCUGCAUGGUGGGGGUUGGAAAGUUUCGGCGGUUGGGGAUGGACUCGCGGCUUAUCAGCUUGUUGGUGGGGUAGUGGCUUACCAAGGCUUUGACGGGUAGCCGGCCUGAGAGGGUGACCGGCCACAUUGGGACUGAGAUACGGCCCAGACUCCUACGGGAGGCAGCAGUGGGGAAUAUUGCACAAUGGGCGGAAGCCUGAUGCAGCAACGCCGCGUGCGGGAUGACGGCCUUCGGGUUGUAAACCGCUUUCGCCUGUGACGAAGCGUGAGUGACGGUAAUGGGUAAAGAAGCACCGGCUAACUACGUG
Molecule: ribosomal RNA, 468 nt
Filed under: uncultured bacterium
Lineage: Bacteria
Description: partial 16S ribosomal RNA
Rfam family: Bacterial small subunit ribosomal RNA
Source: RNAcentral